GCCAUGAGUCAGGGCGGUGUGUGGCGGCCCGCGGGUGUGAGGGAGUGCGCAUCGGGCCUUGGGUUCCUCUUCAGGCGCACUCCAAUUUUAGUUCAGUCGUCAGCUUAAUUGCUUACAAAGGAGUAUAAGUGGAGUCCCAAAAAUGUGUGGAAUAUAAAUAACUUUGUCUUUCAUCUAAUACAAGGAAUGCUAUUUGCAGUGUGCUGCUGAAGAGUGGAAUGGCUAGUGUCAUGGCAGCACACCAGUUUUUACUGUCAUAUUUAGUGUAAUAGAAAGGGAAUGUCUGCAGAGACUUAAAAAAAAAAAAUACAACCUAAGUAUGUACAGACAGCAUAAAUGUUGUGAAGGAUGGAGAAGCAGGAGCUGGAUCACCAUUUCAGGAGACACUGGUUUUUCAGAACAGAUCAUCCCAGGAGAGUUCAGUCACUUCAUCCAUGAGACCGAACACCAGUUCUAAGUCUCUUUCCAGGUGGCUAAGCAGCAGUGUUAGAACAACAUGAGCUGCAAGCAGUUAAGGGGCAAUCCCAUGCCAAAACCAUGAUGUAUGGACUGCACUGGCCCAGCAAGCUGAUGGGUUAUCGUAGUUACAGAAGAAGCUCAUGGAAGAGUAGCUGUAUGCAGACAUGGCUGGUUUGUGAUCCCUCCAGUGAUGUGAAAGGUUGAGAGGUGUUGUGAAGAUCUGCAAGACCAAGCUGGAAAAACCUUUGAGGUUUUUGAGAAAACUUCUGCGGGCUGAGGAAGCAGCAGGAUGUGCAGUUACACAGCCAUCCAUGUUGCAGCUGCAUCCAGUGCAGGGAUCUAUCUUUUAACAGGCUGUUUCCCCCCCACUUUCCACUGUUACCUUUCAGUACAGUACCAAAACCCGCUUUCCUCUGUGUAACAUCUCAUAAAACAAGGUGCUUGGUCAACUUCGUAGUUCAUAACAAUGAAACUGGCAUAUGUAACUUGGAGAUUUUUUCUAGAAAGAAAGUUUUAGCUUUACACCUGCAAGUUCUGCAUCCAUAGGCUACCACUGCAUUCCCACUGAAUUUCAGAGUUUUGAUCCUAAGUACCACUGGGCAGGUUGUGCCUAAGCUUUAAUUUGAAGGCUUUUUUAAAAUUAUUUUUAAAGUGUUGUAGGUAAUGUUUGUAUUCAGAAAUAAUACACUGAAUACUUUCCUAUUUUACCUAGAGAGGUAAUAUUGUACCAAAAAAAUCUGUACUGAUUUUUUCCUAAAGGAACUUGGAAACAAAACAGUGUGGCCAUUGUAUUUCAAACAUUAGAGCAAUUGUUUAGUACAUGUGGUGCAACCCUAAAUUUCCAUGUCAGAACAUGGUGCCAACUCCGAGUCUCUGUAAAUUAUGAUACUGUAGGCAUGCACAUGUUUAAACAAGUGCUUUCCUAUCUUGGGGUUAUAUAAUCGUAUUUAUGUAUACUGUUUGGAAAAGCCAGACAACACUCUAAAGUGAUAAAAAGGAACUGAAAACAUAUGCUUAUUUUCCACACCAUUGUACUUUUGAAACAAAGCAAAACCUGUUAUGGUGCUUGGCUCUUUUUCUAAGUAUAUUGGCAUUUGUUAUAUAUAAAUACUAAUGAUGCUUAUUCAUGUAUAUCAUAAAAAGCUGUAGGUAGGAAAAAAGAGGCCUACUAAAACAAAUACAGAUAAACAAAGAAUAAUUCAUUGCUUGCAGUUGAAAGUAUAUUGCACUAUAGCUUGCAUUACAACAGUACGCUCAUGAACCUGUUACUCUAAACAUCUUUCAAUUACAGAUUUAGGCAGCCAAAAUAUUAGUGUAACUGCAUUUCAAUUCAACAGGCUACCUAGUGGCCUAACCUACUACUGAAGGUCAGGAGAAUAUAACUCAUCCUCCCCAGUGCCUAGACAUCACCAGCUACAUUUCUGGAGAUAUCCUGGAAAAUGAAACUGUGAAAACAUUCCAAGAGCUUCAGCAGGAUUAUUGUCUAUGAUGAGAUCCUCUUCGACAAUACCCAGGCCUUGCUGCACAUAAUACCUGAUAAAAAUCAAACCUCCCCCUUGGGACCACUCUGCUCGCUGUGCACAGUAUUUCAAAUGGAUUUAUAAUAUGUGGAAUCAGCACCAUCAGCGACGAAAACUAGCUCACAGCUUCUCACCCACAUUCUCAGUUUAAGUAUUCAUUGUACUUUCAAACGUCUUGCUUUCUUACUUUUCAAAGAAGGCUUCUCAUGUGCCGUAAUAGCUAGCCCUGGAAGAUGCUGUUCAUUUUACUCUAUUUCCCUUUAUGGACAAAACAGAUUACCCUCUGAGAUACUAUUUCUGAUUUUUUUAAGUUAUAAAAAUAAAAGUGUGUUUUCCUAUAAUAUUUAUUAUUCUUCUUGGAAUUACCAUAUGGAAACAAUGGCUGUAUAGAAUAGUUAAGACACUGUACAAGAUUAAUUGAUUGUAGGAUCAGCAGCGUGUUCAAAGAGCAUUAGCUUUUCCCAAGAUAAGAAUAUUAUUACAAAUUAGAAGAGGACUGUAACAGGCAGUGCUGGCCCUUGAAACCAAGCUCCACAUACACCCCCGCACCACUGCUGAUUUCAGUCUAAGCCUUAUGCACUAGAGUGCUGUGGAGGAUGAUCACGUGACCAAUGUAAUUCCCUAAUGCAUGUGUGAUCAGAUAGCGUAAGAAAAGAAGAGCAUCUCCCUAACUGGAAAACAUUUGGAAGACUGGUAGCUGCUGUAGAACUAAUCUAAAUGAGAAACUUAAAAGGUAAGCACGUUGUUUUGAUUAGAGAGCCAGACCUAGGAAAACAGCAAGAGGAAAGCUAAGCUUUAUGAGAAAGUGAAGAAAGAAACUGCAGAAGGAAAGGAUGCAGAAAGUUUGGUUUGUAACUGAAGAGGGCUUUUGUUCUUGUUAGUAUUAGAAAUCAGUAUUCUUUUCAGCUAUAAAAUACAAUUAGGGUUAUGUUGAUCUUACUUUGCUGAGACAAGGAGCUGGACAGAUUCUGGACAAGUGUGUGACUCAUGGAAAGAGUAACUAGUAGAGAACUUGCUUGACUUGAACUCUUGCUUAUAGACAUUUUAUUUACCCCAGGGGAAGGGUGAAAGUUUCCAGUUUGGCAUAGAGCUAAACUACUUUACCAGUGAGAGAGAACUCAAAGCCUCCUUUGCUGAGAAGAUAAGCUUUCAUGUUACAGGAUAAAGGCUGACAUGUAAUGAAGAAUAUUACAUAGCAAGAGAAGAAAAAGAUGCCUUAAAUCAUCUUUCUUUUAACUGUGAAAACUAGCUCAUGGAGUGUUCGACAUAUAUAUAGUAUUUAACUAGGUGGUCACAUUGACUUCUUUUCAAUACCUAAGACAAACCAUUGCACAUCAAUUUACAGCAGACACUUUUACCAAACAAUAAAAAAAAAUGCUCCCUGCUUUGAGGAAUGGAGAAUCUGUAAUAGCUCUUUCGGCAGUAUUCUUUUCCAUUAAAAACUCAGAGAAUUCAGACAAAAUGCUUUUUUGAGUUUUAUUCCUAAUGUGAAUAAUAAGCCACCUGUCUGGUAGCAACACUUAAGGGCACUUCAAAAUUUUUACUGUAGAAUCAUUUGGGAGGAGCUAAAUUCCAGAAAAUUACCUGCUAUAGAGGUGUAGUUUAUAUGCAAAUUCAGCCUCAGCUAAUCCGUACAAACAUGUUUUAACAGAAAGGAAAAAAACAAACUUACCAAAGGUGCUGAUCAGAGCUCUUUAAAGCAAUCUAAAAUAUGCAUAAAUUAAGCAGAACUCCCCAGUUUCUCCUGAACAGAGCAGAAGGUAAUCCUCAUGUGCUGCUUGCCUUAGGGGUCACAGAGAGAGAGAGAUGACAUGAGAUUUGGAUGCAGAAUCCAAACAAACUCUUCUAAUAAAUGAGUUAUGAAUAUGGAGCUUCAUUUUUUUUGUAAACCCUACCUCAAAAUAUGAGGAAAAACUUAAACUACUGUUGUGAAUCUUUUGUUCAGAGUAACUAAAUAUUUGUGUAGCUUUAUAAAAAGACUUUGUUCAAUCUACUUGUCUUGUCAAAUCAUCUAGAUCCCCUCUGCACUAAAAACAAUACUUGAAUUCUUUCAGAAACAAAAAAACUCCAUCAACAUUCAAUUUGAAAAUAAGAAAACAACAGGUAACAGAAAUUCAAUGUGUCAGUCCUAUCUUUGAGCAGAACUAAGUUAUUUAGUAGAAAUCUAUUCUAGACUUUGAAAGAUGUGUGAUAACAAAGAUGAUGAGCUGACUGAAGAACAACUAUACAGUUAUGGCUUGGAAAAGCUGCUUUAAAUAGUGAGACAAAAUAGCAGUAUUUGAUGUACUGUACUGUAUAGAAUCACAAAAGAUUCUUAUGGAUUCUGAGAAUGUUACAUAGUAUAGCUUAAGCAAAACUGGCAAACGCCCAGAAAAACCAACCCACCGGUGUUUUUGCCAAUCAGUGCUAAGGACUUAUGUAUGGUCUUUGUUCAGGUUCUCUCUAUUGGAGGGGGUUUCUCUCUAUUUCAGUAGUUGGCAGUCAUAAUUUCUGAUUUUCGUAAUUACAGUUGCUGUUAAAUGAACUCUGCUUGAAAAACUCUUGCAGGUUACCUCACUGGGAAUCAUCAAACUUGCCCUUCUGGAGAAGAAUACUGAUCCUUGUCAGCCAUAGGUACAGCCUCCCAGAAAAUGAGAGACACCUCAGGUGAAAUCUGCUUAGAAGGAGUAUAGGAAUUGCUUGAUCUUAGGUCAGCAAUAGCCAUCGAUGUGCUUUGAACAGGAAUAGACAAGAGGCUUUUGUACAAAGGUUGUUCUUUUUUUCUUCAGAUGACAUCUUUUCAGUUCAAGAUUGUACAUACUCUGAUAGGUAA
Long non-coding RNA from Numida meleagris (helmeted guineafowl), 4791 nucleotides. RefSeq lists it as uncharacterized. The record is from RefSeq and is a predicted model, not a curated record. Lineage: Eukaryota; Metazoa; Chordata; Aves; Galliformes; Numididae. The transcript has 4 exons.